RNAcentral lists this ribosomal RNA (253 nucleotides) under uncultured bacterium. Its description in RNAcentral is "partial 16S ribosomal RNA". It matches the Rfam family "Bacterial small subunit ribosomal RNA", at positions 524 to 776 of the family's 1533-position model. The record is from RNAcentral.
UACAGAGGGUGCAAGCGUUAAUCGGAAUUACUGGGCGUAAAGGGCGCGUAGGUGGUUCAUUAAGUGAGAUGUGAAAUCCCCGGGCUUAACCUGGGACGUGCGUCUUAAACUGAUAAGCUAGAGUGCAAUAGAGGGUAGUGGAAUUUCCGGUGUAGCGGUGAAAUGCGUAGAGAUCGGAAGGAACACCAGUGGCGAAGGCGGCUGCCUGGAUUGACACUGACACUGAGGCGCGAGAGCGUGGGGAGCAAACAGG